Molecule: non-coding RNA, 136 nt
Organism: Hordeum vulgare subsp. vulgare (domesticated barley)
Lineage: Eukaryota; Viridiplantae; Streptophyta; Magnoliopsida; Poales; Poaceae
Source: Rfam
UUUAUACUCCCUUCGUCCCAAAAUUCUUGUCUUAGGUUUGUAUAGAAAUAGAUGUAUUAAAAUAUUAAAACCUGACUAGAUACAUUCAUAUCUAGACAAAUCUAAGAUAAGAAUUUUGAAACAGAGGGAGUAUUUA